This 3327-nucleotide small RNA is filed under the name Pongo abelii (Sumatran orangutan). Its description in RNAcentral is "retained intron". The record is from RNAcentral. Lineage: Eukaryota; Metazoa; Chordata; Mammalia; Primates; Hominidae.
UCCUCCCCGCAGUGUCUGGGUGCAAGUGUGGGCUCUCGGGCUCUCGGCUGUCACCUGCCUGUGGGUCAUCGCUGCUGGCACUGGCAGAGGGGAUACCUGUCUCCUCCUGGAAGCCCCUUGCAGGCCAAGGGGUCCCACGGCCCUGAGUCCAUCCACCUCCUCACCUCAGGCCGGCCUCUGCUGGGUGGGACUUGGCCAGGGGUUGGGGUGGUAGGGGUGCUUGGUGAGGCUUAAAGCCAUUUUCUAGCACAUUCUGUAUCAUGAGCACAAUAUUGCCUAGGGGCUGUGAAAUUUGUAUCAGAAUAAACCCCAUAUAAGCCUCUUCCCUGUCACUGGGUGUGGAGCUCAGGCAGCCGCUCGCCUGCCUGAGGGUGAGGGUGAAAGGCCACGCGGGGAUCCCAGACCUCUGUGUGCUUGCCGGAGGAAGCCUGCGGGCAGAAUGCAAUCUGGGCCUGUCUGUGUGGCCUCCGCCUCUCUGCAUGACUACACCGUUUCGCCACGAGGCCGUAACCUAGUGCUCCCGUGGGCUUCGGUGAGGGGGAUGUCGGUCUCUCUAGCCUCCUGAGUCUGCUCCCACCAAUAGGCCUGGUCUUCCCCACCCAGCGUCUCCCCGUUCUCUGGGACGAUGUGGUCCACGUGAUUCUCAAGCUGAGGCUCGCUGGGCCGCCCACGCCCUGUUGGGGUCUUUCCAAGCGAGGUCCUCGGCCGUGCAUGCAUUGAGCUUUGGCCCCUUGGUGAUAGGUGGCUCGGCCCGCCCUGCCUGGCACCCUGACCCUGGUCACGGCCUCUCCCUCCAGCAGGAUACAGACGUCCCUCACCAGUGCCAGCUUGGGGUCUGCAGACGAGAACUCCGUGGCCCAGGCUGACGAUAGCCUGAAAAACCUCCACCUGGAGCUCACGGAAACCUGUCUGGACAUGAUGGCUCGAUACGUCUUCUCCAACUUCACGGCUGUCCCGAAGAGGUCCAGGCGGCACUCCAGGGCUGGGCGGGCCUGCGGGAGCCCCACGGGCGAGCUGGGUUUCACGUUCCCUGUCUUCUAGGUCUCCUGUGGGCGAGUUCCUCCUGGCGGGUGGCAGGACCAAAACCUGGCUGGUUGGGAACAAGCUUGUCACUGUGACGACAAGCGUGGGAACCGGGACCCGGUCGUUACUAGGCCUGGACUCGGGGGAGUUGCAGUCCGGCCCAGAGUCGAGCUCCAGCCCCGGCGUGCAUGUGAGACAGACAAAGGAGGCGCCGGCCAAGCUGGAGUCCCAGGCUGGGCAGCAGGUGUCCCGUGGGGCCCGGGACCGGGUCCGUUCCAUGUCGGGGGGCCAUGGUCUUCGAGUUGGCGCCCUGGACAUGCCGGCCUCCCAGUUCCUGGGCAGUGCCACUUCUCCAGGACCACGGACUGCACCAGCCGCGAAGCCUGAGAAGGCGUCAGCUGGCACCCGGGUUCCUGUGCAGGAGAAGACGAACUUGGCGGCCUACGUACCCCUGCUGACCCAGGGCUGGGCGGAGAUCCUGGUCCGGAGGCCCACAGGGAACACCAGCUGGCUGAUGAGCCUGGAGAACCCGCUCAGCCCUUUCUCUUCGGACAUCAACAACAUGCCCCUGCAGGAGCUGUCCAACGCCCUCAUGGCGGCUGAGCGCUUCAAGGAGCACCGGGACACAGCCCUGUACAAGUCAUUGUCGGUGCCGGCGGCCAGCACGGCCAGACCCCCUCCUCUGCCUCGCUCCAACACAGACUCCGCUGCGGUCGUGGAGGAGGGAAGUCCUGGCGAGGUUCCUGUGCCAGUGGAGCCCCCAGGCUUGGAGGACUUUGAGGCAGCGCUAGGCAUGGACAGGCGCACGGAUGCCUACAGCAGGUCGUCCUCAGUCUCCAGCCAGGAGGAGAAGUCGCUCCACGCGGAGGAGCUGGUUGCCAGGGGCAUCCCCAUCGAGCGAGCCGUCUCCUCGGAGGGUGGCCGGCCCUCUGUGGACCUCUCCUUCCAGCCCUCGCAGCCCCUGAGCAAGUCCAGCUCCUCUCCCGAGCUGCAGACCCUGCAGGACAUCCUCGGGGACCCUGGGGACAAGGCCGACGUGGGCCGGCUGAGCCCUGAGGUUAAGGCCCGGUCACAGUCAGGGACCCUGGACGGGGAAAGUGCUGCCUGGUCAGCCUCGGGCGAAGACAGUCGGGGCCAGCCGGAGGGUCCCUUGCCUUCCAGCUCCCCCCGCUCGCCCAGUGGCCUCCGGCCCCGAGGUUACACCAUCUCCGACUCGGCCCCAUCACGGAGGGGCAAGAGGGUAGAGAGGGAUGCCUUUAAGAGCAGAGCCACAGCCUCCAAUGCAGAGAAAGUGCCGGGCAUCAACCCCAGUUUCGUGUUCCUGCAGCUCUACCAUUCCCCCUUCUUUGGCGACGAGUCAAACAAGCCAAUCCUGCUGCCCAAUGAGUCACAGUCCUUUGAGCGGUCGGUGCAGCUCCUCGACCAGAUCCCAUCAUACGACACCCACAAGAUCGCCGUCCUGUAUGUUGGAGAAGGCCAGAGCAACAGCGAGCUCGCCAUCCUGUCCAACGAGCAUGGCUCCUACAGGUACACGGAGUUCCUGACGGGCCUGGGCCGGCUCAUCGAGCUGAAAGACUGCCAGCCCGACAAGGUGUACCUGGGAGGCCUGGACGUGUGUGGUGAGGAUGGCCAGUUCACCUACUGCUGGCACGAUGACAUCAUGCAAGGACGUGGACAGGCACCGCUGCGACAAGAAGCGCCACCUGGGCAAUGACUUUGUGUCCAUUGUCUACAAUGACUCCGGCGAGGACUUUAAGCUCGGCACCAUCAAGGGCCAGUUCAACUUUGUCCACGUGAUCGUCACCCCGCUGGACUAUGAGUGCAACCUGGUGUCCCUGCAGUGCAGGAAAGACAUGGAGGGCCUUGUGGACACCAGCGUGGCCAAGAUCGUGUCUGACCGCAACCUGCCCUUCGUGGCCCGCCAGAUGGCCUUGCACGCAAAUAUGGCCUCACAGGUGCACCAUAGCCGCUCCAACCCCACCGACAUCUACCCCUCCAAGUGGAUUGCCCGGCUCCGCCACAUCAAGAGGCUCCGCCAGCGGAUCUGUGAGGAAGCCGCCUACUCCAACCCCAGCCUGCCUCUGGUGCACCCCCCGUCCCAUACCAAAGCCCCUGCACAGACUCCAGCCGAGCCCACACCUGGCUACGAGAUGGGCCAGCGGAAGCGCCUCGUCUCCUCCGUGGAGGACUUCACCGAGUUCGUGUGAGGCCGGGGCUCCCCCUGCUGCGCUGGCCUUGGACAGUAUUGCAUGUCAGUGAAAUAAAGUCCUGGCCCCAGUGCACAGACACAGAGGCACAGAUUGC